GAUGAACGCUGGCGGCGUGCCUAAUACAUGCAAGUCGAGCGAACGGACGAGAAGCUUGCUUCUCUGAUGUUAGCGGCGGACGGGUGAGUAACACGUGGAUAACCUACCUAUAAGACUGGGAUAACUUCGGGAAACCGGAGCUAAUACCGGAUAAUAUUUUGAACCGCAUGGUUCAAAAGUGAAAGACGGUCUUGCUGUCACUUAUAGAUGGAUCCGCGCUGCAUUAGCUAGUUGGUAAGGUAACGGCUUACCAAGGCAACGAUGCAUAGCCGACCUGAGAGGGUGAUCGGACACACUGGAACUGAGACACGGUCCAGACUCCUACGGGAGGCAGCAGUAGGGAAUCUUCCGCAAGGGGCGAAAGCCUGACGGAGCAACGCCGCGUGAGUGAUGAAGGUCUUCGGAUCGUAAAACUCUGUUAUUAGGGAAGAACAUAUGUGUAAGUAACUGUGCACAUCUUGACGGUACCUAAUCAGAAAGCCACGGCUAACUACGUG
This 497-nucleotide ribosomal RNA is filed under the name uncultured bacterium. RNAcentral's name for it is "partial 16S ribosomal RNA". It matches the Rfam family "Bacterial small subunit ribosomal RNA", at positions 28 to 507 of the family's 1533-position model. The record is from RNAcentral.